This 393-nucleotide ribosomal RNA is filed under the name uncultured Glomeromycotina. RNAcentral describes it as "SSU rRNA". It matches the Rfam family "Eukaryotic small subunit ribosomal RNA", at positions 569 to 966 of the family's 1831-position model. Lineage: Eukaryota; Fungi; Glomeromycota. The record is from RNAcentral.
AGCAGCCGCGGUAAUUCCAGCUCCAAUAGCGUAUAUUAAAGUUGUUGCAGUUAAAAAGCUCGUAGUUGAAUUUCGGGGUCAGUAGGUUGGUCAUGCCUCCGGUAUGUACUGGUCUCACUGAUUCCUCCUUCCUGAUGAGCCGUAAUGCCAUUAAUUUGGUGUUGCGGGGAAUCUGGACUGUUACUUUGAAAAAAUUAGAGUGUUUAAAGCAAGCUAACGCUUGAAUACAUUAGCAUGGAAUAAUGGAAUAGGACGUUCGAUCCUAUUUUGUUGGUUUCUAGGAUUGACGUAAUGAUUAAUAGGGAUAGUUGGGGGCAUUAGUAUUCAAUUGUCAGAGGUGAAAUUCUUGGAUUUAUUGAAGACUAACUACUGCGAAAGCAUUUGCCAAGGAUG